GCGGGAAUAGCUCAGUUGGGAGAGCGUCAGACUGAAGUUAUAUACGCAAUUUGAAGGUCGCGUGUUCGAUCCACGCUCACCGCA
Gossypium raimondii (Peruvian cotton) is the source of this 84-nucleotide non-coding RNA. The record is from Rfam. Lineage: Eukaryota; Viridiplantae; Streptophyta; Magnoliopsida; Malvales; Malvaceae.